Seriola aureovittata is the source of this 2178-nucleotide long non-coding RNA. RefSeq lists it as uncharacterized. The transcript has 2 exons. The record is from RefSeq and is a predicted model, not a curated record. NCBI's taxonomy places the organism in Eukaryota, Metazoa, Chordata, Actinopteri, Carangiformes, Carangidae.
GAGACUUGCAGCUCAACAAAGGAAAGCUGAAACCUGUUUUUCACUUGUUUACUCUCAGCAGAUUAACUGUUCUGGGAAAUGCGUCUGAAAAUAAAAAAAAAAAACUACUUCUGUGUAAUAUGUUAACAUUUUUCUUUCCCUCAGGGCUGCUGUCAUGAUUAUUGUUUCCCUUGCUGCUGCUGUGUUCUACCUGUUGUUCUGCCAUGUUCUGCCAUGUUGUUUUGCAGCUUUUCAGUCUUUCUUUGUUAAAAGCAGUAUUCUAUCUCAUCUAAGUUUUUUGUUUUUUUGUAUGGACAAUAGUGCUGAAAUGAUUAGUCAGUUAACUGAUUACUUAUCUACUAUCAAUUGGCUAGAAUUCUAAUAAGUAAUUAAUCGUUUGAAGCCAUUUUUCAAGCAGAAAUGUGAAACAUCACCUAGUUUCAUCUUGUCAAAUGUGAGGAUUUGCUGCUUUUCUUUUGUCUUAUGUGACAGUUAAGUCUUUGAUUCAAGGAAUAUAUAUAUUAUUCCACUUCUCGGCCGUGCUAGUGACUUCCGUGUCUCUGCUGGUUGCCUGGCAACCUCGCAGACCUUUUACAUAUUAAACACACAAGAUAUAAUGUGUUAAUUAGUGAGAGUCAGAGAUGCUGGAGGACAGAUUUUGUUAUCUCUGGACAGAGCCCAGGCUAGAUGUUUCCAGUUUCGAUGCUAAGCUAAGGUGAGCUUUUCACUGCAUCGGAAUAUUUUUCUACUUCUUCUUCUAUUCUACUUCCGCAGAUCUGUGCCUCGACACAACCCUGUCUCUGAGCUCUGCAGGCAGCUCCUUCACCUCGCGGCCUGGUUACUGCUCUGAUCUGCACUGUCAGGUGUGAGACCUUAUAAAGUCAGGCGUGUGCCUUUCCACAUCAUGUCCAAUCAGUUGAAUUUACCGCAGGUGAAACUUCACAACAAAAGGGUCUGAAUACUUAUGUCAAUGUCAUAUUUCAGUUUUCUUCUUUUUAAUAAAUUUGCAAAACAAAAUUCUAAAAUUCUGUUUUCACUUUGUCAUUAUGGAGUAUGGAGUAUAGAUUGAUGAGAGAUUUUCUUUAUUUAAGCAUAUAAGGCUGCAACAGAACAACAUGUGAAGGAAAAAAUUGAAGGGGUCUGAACACUUUCUGAAUGAGCUGUAAUCAUCUGCCGGCUCGAGCCUUAUUUUGAACAGACAGAUGUGAAACUGCUGUGAAUCCACUCAUGGAACUCUUGGCAAGAAAGAAAAUAAGCAUAUUUCCUAAAUGCCAAACAUUUUUUCUGGCUCCAGCUCUUCAGUGUGAGGAUCUGCUGCUUUUUGGGUUUUUUUUUUUAUUUUGCUGCUUUAUCUCAUUUCAAUGUCUUGUUGGUGAGACAAAAGCAGUUUAAAGAUCUUUGACUUGUUUCACCAUUUUCUGACUAAACAAUUCACUGAUUAAUUAAAAAAAGUAAUCAGAUUAAUCAGUAAUGGAUAUAAUUGUUGAUUGCCGUCUUAACUUUUAAUAUUAUUCUUGUGCUUUGCUUUUAAUCUGUGCAUAUGAAAAAAUCAUACUUGAGGAUUAGAGUAAAAAAUCUGAUCCUUUAAUAAUCUGUUGAGCAAAAACAGGAAUUAAGAGUGCUUGAUGGCUUUGUUCAGUUCCUUCUAUAAAAUUUAUUCAUUUUCUCUUAACUGGCAGCUCCUCAUGAGGCCGCUCUGACUGCGCCUGUCCACGAGUGAAGAAAAUCAUCUUCAAGACUGAAGAAAUUAGUCAUCCGGUCAAUUCAACAGCACCGAUGAGCCUAUUUGAGACUGGAGACUGGAGCUCCAUGGCGACAGUCUUUACCUUCGCAGCUAUCCACAGGAGUGAGUCCCUCUCCUCUGUUGAUGGACCAGCACAUCUUCGUGGGAAUCCCAAAGUAGCCCAUUACACCUGUGUACAUCCGGUACCAGCUGGCCAGGACCACCUGGGGAGAGGGGGCGGACAGCGGGAGACAUGACAGCCAGUGAAAAGCCUAUUCAAACAACAUGUCUGAAAGGACCUUUCUGUCCUGUUAUCUCUGAGGAGAGCAGACACAUGGGAUUCUCAUUGUACUCCUGCAGAAGUCGUUUACUGACUGCUUCCCUGAGCUGGAAAUGUUGAUCUUCUCUGCACUGCUUUGUGGAUUAGCUCUGGUGAAUCCAGGAAAUAAAAACAGCUCAUUAAUGAGUGAAAUCAG